RNAcentral lists this ribosomal RNA (324 nucleotides) under uncultured eukaryote. RNAcentral describes it as "partial 18S ribosomal RNA". It matches the Rfam family "Eukaryotic small subunit ribosomal RNA", at positions 1470 to 1796 of the family's 1831-position model. The record is from RNAcentral.
CCCUUAGAUGUUCUGGGCCGCACGCGCGCUACACUGAUGCAUUCAACGAGCCUAUCCUUGACCGACAGGUCCGGGUAAUCUUUGAAUCUGCAUCGUGACGGGGAUAGAUUAUUGCAAUAUUAAUCUUCAACGAGGAAUGCCUAGUAGGCGCAAGUCAUCAGCUUGCGUCGAUUACAUCCCUGCCCUUUGUACACACCGCCCGUCGCUCCUACCGAUUGGGUGUGCUGGUGAAAUGUUCGGAUCGGCCGUUUGUCGCGGUUUCCGCGUCAUGUGGCUGAGAAGUUCAUUAAACCCUCCCACCUAGAGGAAGGAGAAGUCGUAACA